RNAcentral lists this ribosomal RNA (408 nucleotides) under uncultured bacterium. Its description in RNAcentral is "partial 16S ribosomal RNA". It matches the Rfam family "Bacterial small subunit ribosomal RNA", at positions 28 to 526 of the family's 1533-position model. The record is from RNAcentral.
GACGAACGCUGGCGGCGUGCUUAACACAUGCAAGUCGAACGAAGUGGCGAACGGGUGAGUAACGCGUAAUCAACCUGCCCUUCAGCGGGGGAUAACAGUUGGAAACGACUGCUAAUACCGCAUACUGACGGCGGGGAUUGCGUCUGAUUAGCUAGGUGGAGGGGUAAUGGCCCACCAAGGCGAUGAGCAGUAGGCGGUCUGAGAGGAUGAACGGGCACAAUGGGACGGAGACACGGCCCAGACUCCUACGGGAGGCAGCAGGGGGGAAUCGUCCGCAAUGGACGAAAGUCUGACGGAGCAACGCCGCGUGAGUGAUGACGGCCUUCGGGUUGGAAAGCUCUGUUAAUCGGGACGCGGUACCGGAAUAGAAAGCCACGGCUAACUACGUGCCAGCAGCCGCGGUAAUAC